UCUUGGUCAUUUAGAGGAAGUAAAAGUCGUAACAAGGUCUCCGUAGGUGAACCUGCGGAGGGAUCAUUACACAAAUAUGAAGGCGGGCUGGAACCUCUCGGGGUUACAGCCUUGCUGAAUUAUUCACCCUUGUCUUUUGCGUACUUCUUGUUUCCUUGGUGGGUUCGCCCACCACUAGGACAAACAUAAACCUUUUGUAAUUGCAAUCAGCGUCAGUAACAAAUUAAUAAUUACAACUUUCAACAACGGAUCUCUUGGUUCUGGCAUCGAUGAAGAACGCAGCGAAAUGCGAUAAGUAGUGUGAAUUGCAGAAUUCAGUGAAUCAUCGAAUCUUUGAACGCACAUUGCGCCCUUUGGUAUUCCAAAGGGCAUGCCUGUUCGAGCGUCAUUUGUACCCUCAAGCUUUGCUUGGUGUUGGGCGUCUUGUCUCUAGCUUUGCUGGAGACUCGCCUUAAAGUAAUUGGCAGCCGGCCUACUGGUUUCGGAGCGCAGCACAAGUCGCACUCUCUAUCAGCAAAGGUCUAGCAUCCAUUAAGCCUUUUUUUCAACUUUUGACCUCGGAUCAGGUAGGGAUACCCGCUGAACUUAAGCAUAUCAAUAAGCG
Molecule: ribosomal RNA, 604 nt
Filed under: fungal sp. MG149NL4L2x
Lineage: Eukaryota; Fungi
Description: eukaryotic LSU rRNA
Rfam family: 5.8S ribosomal RNA (bases 235-388)
Source: RNAcentral